AUUGAACGCUGGCGGCAGGCCUAACACAUGCAAGUCGAACGGUAGCAGGAAGAAGCUUGCUUCUUUGCUGACGAGUGGCGGACGGGUGAGUAAUGUCUGGGAAACUGCCUGAUGGAGGGGGAUAACUACUGGAAACGGUAGCUAAUACCGCAUAACGUCGCAAGACCAAAGAGGGGGACCUUCGGGCCUCUUGCCAUCGGAUGUGCCCAGAUGGGAUUAGCUAGUAGGUGGGGUAACGGCUCACCUAGUCGACGAUCCCUAGCUGGUCUGAGAGGAUGACCAGCCACACUGGAACUGAGACACGGUCCAGACUCCUACGGGAGGCAGCAGUGGGGAAUAUUGCACAAUGGGCGCAAGCCUGAUGCAGCCAUGCCGCGUGUAUGAAGAAGGCCUUCGGGUUGUAAAGUACUUUCAGCGGGGAGGAAGGGAGUAAAGUUAAUACCUUUGCUCAUUGACGUUACCCGCAGAAGAAGCACCGGCUAACUCCGUG
This 490-nucleotide ribosomal RNA is filed under the name uncultured bacterium. Its description in RNAcentral is "partial 16S ribosomal RNA". It matches the Rfam family "Bacterial small subunit ribosomal RNA", at positions 30 to 507 of the family's 1533-position model. The record is from RNAcentral.